RNAcentral lists this long non-coding RNA (1093 nucleotides) under Mus musculus (house mouse). RNAcentral describes it as "long non-coding RNA chr10:69689083-69690176". The record is from RNAcentral. Lineage: Eukaryota; Metazoa; Chordata; Mammalia; Rodentia; Muridae.
UGACAGGGAAGGACCCUGGGGUCACAUCACAGGGCUCACGGUGAUAGGGAGGUGGGAGAAUAUGCUCCCCCAGAGUGCGGGACAGUGGUAGACAAGUAGGAGGCAUAUCUUAUGCAUAUUUUUGGAUGCUGAGUUUGAUUUAUCCAAAAGGAGACAUCGAACAGGCAGUUGGAUUUUUGGGUCAGGAGCUCCAAGGAGGGUCCACACUGUGAGUCAUCUCAACUGGGAGAUAAUUGACGCUGUGGGUGUGGAUGAGGUGGCUUCGGCUUGCAGAGCAAUGCGUGGGAAGAAAGGGCUCAAGAUGGAGACUGGCUUUUUCGCGGUCCAUGGGAAAGCGGGCUGCAUCUGGAAAGGAAGCCGAUAAGGACUGACCCCUGUACAGAUGGGGUCCUCGGCGGGGUCCUCUGUGGAGUCUUCAGCAAGCUCUCCUGCUGGAUCCUCUGCAAAGCUGCUUUCCAAACCUCUGUUGUUGUUGUGUUUUAAUUUUUGCUGUUGUGGUUUCUUUGUUUGUUUGUUUGUUUUGUGUUGCCGUAGGGUCUCACAUGUCCCAGGCUGGUGUCUAUCUUGAUCUAAGAAUCACAGAUGACCCUGAGCUGACCGUAGUGCCCACACUUCCCAAAUGCUGGGAUUACAGGUGUACUCCCCACUACCUGGUUUAUGUAGCCUUGUGGAUGCUAUGUAAGCGUUUCCCAGCUGAGUCAAACCCCCAGCUCCUGCUUCAGUUUCUUCACGGAUAAAAAACAUUGCCAUUUUAUUUACCAGAAAAGAUCUUAGCCUUACUAUGAAACAAAACAAAACACAACACAACAACAACAACAACAAACCCAGCAUGCAAGCGCGUUGAUACUCUCCACUGUGGACUUAGUCAGGAGUGGCUCCAUAUCUUCUGGUCAGAGUAGAACCACUGGCUACAAGCGAUGAGCCAUAUUCCGAUAAAGCUAUUAUUUCCUAUCUGACUGGCUCAAUCUGGAGAGGUUAAGGUUUGGGUCAGGAAGAAAGUUUCACUGACCAAGUCCGGUGUGCAAAAGGAUGUCAUGGAUAGUUAGGGCUCUGGAGAAGGAAAAAAAAAAAAAAAAAGACUUGUGUUUUAAGC